AGUCACUGACAUUAGAUACCCCCGUAGUCCCAGCCGUAAACUAUGCUCGCUAGGUGUCAGGCAUGGCGCGACCGUGUCUGGUGCCGCAGGGAAGCCGUGAGGCGAGCCACCUGGGAAGUACGGCCGCAAGGCUGAAACUUAAAGGAAUUGGCGGGGGAGCACAACAACGGGUGGAGCCUGCGGUUUAAUUGGACUCAACGCCGGACAACUCACCGGGGACGACAGCAAUAUGUAGGCCAGGCUGAAGACCUUGCCUGAAUCGCUG
RNAcentral lists this ribosomal RNA (265 nucleotides) under uncultured archaeon. RNAcentral's name for it is "partial 16S ribosomal RNA". It matches the Rfam family "Archaeal small subunit ribosomal RNA", at positions 718 to 982 of the family's 1478-position model. The record is from RNAcentral.